This 253-nucleotide ribosomal RNA is filed under the name Halobacillus ihumii. Its description in RNAcentral is "partial 16S ribosomal RNA". It matches the Rfam family "Bacterial small subunit ribosomal RNA", at positions 524 to 776 of the family's 1533-position model. Lineage: Bacteria; Bacillati; Bacillota; Bacilli; Caryophanales; Bacillaceae. RNAcentral also lists the same sequence under 1 other name. The record is from RNAcentral.
UACGUAGGGGGCAAGCGUUGUCCGGAAUUAUUGGGCGUAAAGCGCGCGCAGGCGGUUUCUUAAGUCUGAUGUGAAAGCCCACGGCUCAACCGUGGAGGGUCAUUGGAAACUGGGGAACUUGAGGACAGAAGAGGAGAGUGGAAUUCCACGUGUAGCGGUGAAAUGCGUAGAUAUGUGGAGGAACACCAGUGGCGAAGGCGACUCUCUGGUCUGUUUCUGACGCUGAGGUGCGAAAGCGUGGGUAGCAAACAGG